Molecule: long non-coding RNA, 1221 nt
Organism: Crotalus tigris (Tiger rattlesnake)
Lineage: Eukaryota; Metazoa; Chordata; Lepidosauria; Squamata; Viperidae
Exons: 3
Source: RefSeq, a predicted model, not a curated record
UGGUUAACCCAGACAAUGAACUACUAACACUGCAGGAAGGACAAAGUCUGCCUCAACAGGAUGCCGCUUUAUCAUUGCUAGUCCGAGGUCCAGCCACCAUUACUGGAACAACUGCAACACCCACUAAUGCCAAAUAUCCAACUUUCUGUCUAACAAAUUAAUAGGAACCCAAGCAAAGCUUUCUCAUUCUUGUUGUAAUGGGCUGAGUUGUGAAGGAAGUGCUGCAGUUCUUUCUACGCAGACGUCUUUCCAAGGAACUGGGGAAUUUCAGUGAGUCCCACGUGCAACUUGGAAUUUGAUUAUUGAGGCAAUAUGCCAGCUCCUGAACAGAUCCCUUUUGAAGAUGGGCUGCAACCGAACACCCAAGAAUCUUCUGCAAAUCCUGCCAUGGAAACAGAGGCUACUGCCACUACUAUUCUAGCUUCUGUAAAAGAACAGGAACUCCAAUUUCAAAGACUCACCAGAGAACUUGAAGUGGAAAGACAAAUUGUUGCCAGUCAGUUAGAAAGAUGUCGGCUUGGAGCAGAAUCGCCAAGCAUUGCAAGCACAAGGUAUCCGUCCAUAUUUAAUUUACAAAUUGUCAGCUACUUCUUUCAAAUAAACCUUUAUCACAGCAUGAAUUAUGAAAAUUUUUCAAUCUAUAAAUACCACAUUCAGCAUUAUUUCACAGCCAUUUUCCUGCCAGCUACCUGGGAAUCAUGGCUUUAGCUCUGUAGCAGGGAAGGCAGAUGACAGAUUGGAGUUGUCAUUGGCAGUUCUCACCGUGAUUUGCAGUAGAUCAUUAACAAAACCUACAGUUCUCCUUGCUUUAAAUGAAAGCAUAGCAGUGGAAGAGAAAGGCAUGAACUUUGUUCAUUUUAUAUAGCUAUAUUUUGAGAAUCAUUCUGCUGUAGAAAACAGAUUUAUAGGAUGGGCAUAAGUUCUGAAGCUCCCUUAUUCCUUAAUUCUAGAAGUAUUCCCAGCCACAAUUAUUUUGCACCUCUUGUUUGUGGCCUUUGGAUUUGUAGGGAACACACACACCACAAUGUAUACAAUUGAUCUUGAACAUCUGAAGUCUGUCUCUUUCUGCUCUAAGAUGUUGUUAUUUCAUUUAUUUAGGGAUUCAACAAAGUGAUUUGGGGCCCCCACAUGAUAAUUCACUAAAUAACAUCAGGGUAGCCCUGCUAAAUAAUAACAAAUAUUAUCUACACUAUUAAGUUAACUUCUGCACUAUUAAAUUAA